This is a long non-coding RNA of Oncorhynchus tshawytscha (Chinook salmon), 560 nucleotides long. RefSeq lists it as uncharacterized. The transcript has 3 exons. The record is from RefSeq and is a predicted model, not a curated record. Lineage: Eukaryota; Metazoa; Chordata; Actinopteri; Salmoniformes; Salmonidae.
UUCAAAUGACGUAUCAUGAUGUCUGACGAGUUGACACUUGCAGGGCAAGGGAAGAAUGAAUACAUUUGAAAUGGACCGCUCAUGGCUGGAAAUUUGUCACGCGUUCAUCCCACGAUUGUGUUUUCACUCACCAUGGAAUUGUUGUGUGUGAGCCUUAUAUGCGCUACAGUCAAUUAUGAUUACAUUUCAUAUCUUGGCUAGAAGACAACGCAUCCGCAGACAUCGAAUGUUAGCCAUCCUACUAUAUCAGGCCUGGAGUGAACAUAAUUGUACACUCGCAAACUCGAUCAAAUACGAGGGCUUACGUUGCCAACUUCCCUUGCUUGGAUAAUGAUUUGGACCCAUGACAAAGAUGGCCGCGCAGAUUCCCCCAAGGGCAUAAGGCAAGGUUUGGAGUGGAUCAUAGACCAACACUACCACCACGUUGGGUCUGGAAUGCGAGGGACUACCGCUGAUGACCCAAUCUGCACUCACCGCAUCUAUCAUCCAUAACAAACAGGGCAGGCAAGCUAUGUGCAACUUUCUUUUUCUGUUAAAUAAAAUACCUUUUUUAGCAAAGA